AGCCCUGCUACCAGGAUAUUUUUAACAUUCAUGAGCCAGCACUUUUUGCUGAUGAAAUAUUUUGUGUUGUUAUUUUAGAUCUGACAGCCAACAUACAUUUAAGAUCUUCAACUUAGUUCAUCAGAGUUUUGAAGUAGAUAAUAUGAUUAUCCAGCAUGUUGAAGCCAUAUUCUUCAAGGAAAUGUACUUAAGACAUAGAUAGUUCACCUAUUUGCUGAUGAAUAUACUAAACUAUUGUUGGAAAUGAGGCACAAUGUGUGACAUAGUUCUAUGCCCUAUUGAGCACCAGGGUUCUGGACUGAAAAGGACAAUCACUUGUAUCAACUUUACUGUAUUGGUCAAGAUAAAAAACACUUCAAUUGGGAUGGCAUGUGAGAAGUCAAUGACUUGUCUAUGUUUGACAGUAUACCAAAAGUGAAUUACAUUCUCAUAGAAUUUGUCUUUAGAAGUAUCCCUGAAAAAGCUGAAUACUACAGUGGCAGGUGUUACAAUAUUUGUACUUAAUUGUGAAACAAGUUUUAUAUAUGAAUCACUUUUUGCUUACAAAAACUGAAGACAUAUGAGGAGACAUAGUUGUUAUUACCCUGUUUGGGUCAAACCCUCAACAUGGGGUUGCAAGACUAUAAUUCAAGGACAUAAAUGACCUCUCAUUUGUGACUUCCCAUGUUUGCUAGAAUCUGUUAUUGUAAUUGUUUUAAAUUAAUUGAAAUUAUUUCAAUUUAAAAAUAUACUAAUAUGUUAUUCAUAUUAUACAAUUUAAAACACACUGAUCAGAAUAUGAUUACACUGUCUGUAUCUGUAACUGAAAAUUUAGUCAGGAACAUAACUAGUGCAAGCCCUU
Ruditapes philippinarum (Manila clam) is the source of this 841-nucleotide long non-coding RNA. RefSeq lists it as uncharacterized. The transcript is spliced from 3 exons. The record is from RefSeq and is a predicted model, not a curated record. NCBI's taxonomy places the organism in Eukaryota, Metazoa, Mollusca, Bivalvia, Venerida, Veneridae.